ACCGGGUUGGCGGAAAUGGUGAUCGCGCCUCGCCCAUAACGAGGAACACGAAGGUUCGAAUCCUUCACCCGGUA
This 74-nucleotide transfer RNA is filed under the name Flavobacteriales bacterium. RNAcentral's name for it is "tRNA-Met". It matches the Rfam family "tRNA". From Rfam's summary of the family: Transfer RNA (tRNA) molecules are approximately 80 nucleotides in length. Their secondary structure includes four short double-helical elements and three loops (D, anti-codon, and T loops). The record is from RNAcentral. Lineage: Bacteria; Pseudomonadati; Bacteroidota; Flavobacteriia; Flavobacteriales.